AUUGAACGCUGGCGGCAGGCCUAACACAUGCCAGUCGAGCGGAUGAAGGGAGCUUGCUCCUGGAUUCAGCGGCGGACGGGUGAGUAAUGCCUAGGAAUCUGCCUGGUAGUGGGGGAUAACGUCCGGAAACGGGCGCUAAUACCGCAUACGUCCUGAGGGAGAAAGUGGGGGAUCUUCGGACCUCACGCUAUCAGAUGAGCCUAGGUCGGAUUAGCUAGUUGGUGGGGUAAAGGCCUACCAAGGCGACGAUCCGUAACUGGUCUGAGAGGAUGAUCAGUCACACUGGAACUGAGACACGGUCCAGACUCCUACGGGAGGCAGCAGUGGGGAAUAUUGGACAAUGGGCGAAAGCCUGAUCCAGCCAUGCCGCGUGUGUGAAGAAGGUCUUCGGAUUGUAAAGCACUUUAAGUUGGGAGGAAGGGCAGUAAGUUAAUACCUUGUUGUUUUGACGUUACCAACAGAAUAAGCACCGGCUAACUUCGUG
Molecule: ribosomal RNA, 484 nt
Filed under: uncultured bacterium
Lineage: Bacteria
Description: partial 16S ribosomal RNA
Rfam family: Bacterial small subunit ribosomal RNA
Source: RNAcentral